Non-coding RNA from Tritrichomonas musculus, 100 nucleotides. NCBI's taxonomy places the organism in Eukaryota, Parabasalia, Tritrichomonadida, Tritrichomonadidae. The record is from the annotation of a GenBank genome assembly.
GUCAAGGUCGUCCAAUGGAAGGAUAGGCAUCUUUUGCAAAAUCAUAUUUUAAUGAUAUUGGAAAUUAAGCCAGAUUGGGGUUCAAUUCCCUGCCUUGACG